UUUGUUAAAUUUAAAAUUUUCAUUCAAAAUUAAAAUAAAAUUUUGAUUUAGAAUUCAAACUUUUAAUUGAAAUGAUAAAUAUGUAAGUAAAUUACUGUUAGGUGCCGAAUUCUCUUCUCUUUGACUCGGUUAAAGAUCUUUCUCGGGAAGCGCGUCGGGAUGCAAAAUGGCUACGAUUAGUGACCCUCGAAGUUUGCGCCAUUCGGCUGGAUCAAGCGAUUCGGCUGAUGAGGGAUCGAAUCAGCCGAGUUCGAAGACAAAUAUUAUAGAACAUGCAGGUUCGGCUGAAUGAGUCGAAUAGAUGAAAUAUACGAGAUUUGGAUCGGCUGAUGAGCCGAAUAGAUGGAAUACACAGUAACUGGUCGGCUGAAAGAGCCGAAUGCCUUUAUAUAUUAAAAUGAAGUCGGGAAUUCAUACAAAACAGAGUAUGCCUGAAGGGCAUACAGACUUUAAAAAUCUAGAUUAUAAAAGAGUAUGCCUGUGGGGUAUACUGACUCCAAAAAUCUAACUUAAAAAUUACUCAUAGGAAAGCAGUAAAUGCGGGUAUAAAGAUUACAUGUAGACUACUCCUAGAAAGCGAUAAAUACAGGAAGGAAAGUAUGGAAAAUGCGGCGGUCUUCUCGUUUAGGGGAGAGAAAGACCCCUUUUACAGGUUUCAAAGUUACUAUUUAU
RNAcentral lists this long non-coding RNA (672 nucleotides) under Ananas comosus (pineapple). RNAcentral's name for it is "long non-coding RNA (ACOM_LNC014032)". The record is from RNAcentral. Lineage: Eukaryota; Viridiplantae; Streptophyta; Magnoliopsida; Poales; Bromeliaceae.